This 67-nucleotide transfer RNA is filed under the name Phyllidiella sp. Nanhai. RNAcentral's name for it is "tRNA-Arg". Lineage: Eukaryota; Metazoa; Mollusca; Gastropoda; Nudibranchia; Phyllidiidae. The record is from RNAcentral.
UGCUUGAAAGCGAAUAAUCGCACUAAGUUUCGGCCUUAGCUAUGAGAGUUUUUCUUCUCUCAAGUAA